Phalacrocorax carbo (great cormorant) is the source of this 983-nucleotide non-coding RNA. NCBI's taxonomy places the organism in Eukaryota, Metazoa, Chordata, Aves, Suliformes, Phalacrocoracidae. The record is from RefSeq and is a predicted model, not a curated record.
UGUUGCCAUCCUCGCAGCGCGGGGGCGAAAAGGGACACACAGAGCCCUUCCCGGCUGUGGACAGGAGCUGCCUCGGCUGAAGCUGGAGAUGCCAACGAAAGGUAAAGCAGAAGAAACUGAAGGCGCUCUGGCUGCCAGCUGCCUUCCUGCCGCAGGCAAGAGAGAGCCUGUCCCUGCAGGUGAGGGAGGGAGGAUCCCCCUUCGUAGCCCGCAGCGGGCCAGGCCACCAACGUGCACCGCAGGGUGGAGGACGGCCUAGAGUCUGGAGCUGCAGAAGAGGCAGGGCGGAGAGGAGGGGAAAGAAGCAUCUGAACGGCUAAAUUGUGCCAGCAGCGCUGAGAGCGAGAGUCGCGAGACCGUGCUGAGGACGUGGUUGUCUGUCCUUCCCCCGGGGAUGCCGUUGACUGCAGCCGUCUCAGGCUUGCGUGGCUUCUCUCUGCCCGGUGUUGCCAUCCUCGCAGCGCGGGGGCGAAAAGGGACACACAGAGCCCUUCCCGGCUGUGGACAGGAGCUGCCUCGGCUGAAGCUGGAGAUGCCAACGAAAGGUAAAGCAGAAGAAACUGAAGGCGCUCUGGCUGCCAGCUGCCUUCCUGCCGCAGGCAAGAGAGAGCCUGUCCCUGCAGGUGAGGGAGGGAGGAUCCCCCUUCGUAGCCCGCAGCGGGCCAGGCCACCAACGUGCACCGCAGGGUGGAGGACGGCCUAGAGUCUGGAGCUGCAGAAGAGGCAGGGCGGAGAGGAGGGGAAAGAAGCAUCUGAACGGCUAAAUUGUGCCAGCGGCGCUGAGAGCGAGAGUCGCGAGACCGUGCUGAGGACGUGGUUGUCUGUCCUUCCCCCGGGGAUGCCAUUGACUGCGGCCGUCUCAGGCUUGCGUGGCUUCUCUCUGCCCGGUGUUGCCAUCCUCGCAGCGCGGGGGCGAAAAGGGACACACAGAGCCCUUCCCGGCUGUGGACAGGAGCUGCCUCGGCUGAAGCUGGAGACGCCAA